RNAcentral lists this ribosomal RNA (253 nucleotides) under uncultured bacterium. RNAcentral's name for it is "partial 16S ribosomal RNA". It matches the Rfam family "Bacterial small subunit ribosomal RNA", at positions 524 to 776 of the family's 1533-position model. The record is from RNAcentral.
UACAGAGGGGGCAAGCGUUGUUCGGAAUUACUGGGCGUAAAGGGCGCGUAGGCGGCCUGCUAAGUCGAACGUGAAAUCCCCGAGCUCAACUCGGGAACUGCGUCCGAUACUGGCAGGCUUGAAUCCGGGAGAGGGAUGCGGAAUUCCAGGUGUAGCGGUGAAAUGCGUAGAUAUCUGGAGGAACACCGGUGGCGAAGGCGGCAUCCUGGACCGGCAUUGACGCUGAGGCGCGAAAGCCAGGGGAGCAAGCGGG